AUGUUGCGGACACUAUCCUCAAAGAACAAGGUUCUCUGAGGAUUAAGGUUAGCUAUCUCAAGAGCCCUUUCUAUGGCAAUUUCGGAUGGUUUGCAGACAAUAGGAGUCUUUGGUAAAACAGAGCUUGGGUUUGGUUCAGCAAAAUGGCCAAUAAUGUCAAAAAUUUCAGGACCAUUACAAGUAUUUUUAGUUGCAGCAGCAGCUGAUCCCACGAAUUCCAUGUCAUCUUCAUCAUCAGAAAUGGUGCUCUUGUGGGUAGGAUUUAGAGUCUCAAAGCAAAUAAUCCCUUCAAAACAAUCCUCCAACCCAAGCUUGGCAAGAACUUUCAGGGCAUGUACUUUGUCUGCAUUUGUAAAGAUUACUUUUCGAAUAGGCAGGCUCAGCAGAAGACUCCUAAGGACAGGGUCUGGUUUUAAGUUCCCAUAGGGUAAUCUCCCAUGAACAUAACUGUGAUACUCAUCAUAGUCGAAGUCAUAGCCAAUUGCCCUGAGGCCGGCCAUUGUUGUCCCAUAAUUCUUGUACAGCAGGUUACCCAA
RNAcentral lists this unclassified non-coding RNA (536 nucleotides) under Hevea brasiliensis (rubber tree). The record is from RNAcentral. Lineage: Eukaryota; Viridiplantae; Streptophyta; Magnoliopsida; Malpighiales; Euphorbiaceae.